GACGAACGCUGGCGGCGUGCCUAACACAUGCAAGUCGAACGGAACGCCCUUGAUUGAGGCUUCGGCCGAUUGAAAGGAAUGUUUAGUGGCGGACGGGUGAGUAACGCGUGAGUAACCUGCCGUGGAGAGUGGAAUAACACAGCGAAAGUUGUGCUAAUACCGCAUAUUGCAAAAGAGUCGCAUGGCUCUUUUGUGAAAGAUUUAUCGCUCCAUGAUGGACUCGCGUCUGAUUAGCUAGUUGGUAGGGUAGAGGCCUACCAAGGCGACGAUCAGUAGCCGGACUGAGAGGUUGAACGGCCACAUUGGGACUGAGACACGGCCCAGACUCCUACGGGAGGCAGCAGUGGGGAAUAUUGCGCAAUGGGGGCAACCCGUGACGCAGCAACGCCGCGUGAAGGAAGAAGGUCUUCGGAUUGUAAACUUCUGUCUUUGGUGAAGAUAAUGACGGUAGCCAAGGAGGAAGCCACGGCUAACUACGUGCCAGCAGCCGACGG
RNAcentral lists this ribosomal RNA (494 nucleotides) under uncultured bacterium. Its description in RNAcentral is "bacterial SSU rRNA". It matches the Rfam family "Bacterial small subunit ribosomal RNA", at positions 28 to 520 of the family's 1533-position model. The record is from RNAcentral.